This 877-nucleotide ribosomal RNA is filed under the name Pseudoalteromonas sp. A757. RNAcentral describes it as "partial 23S ribosomal RNA". It matches the Rfam family "Bacterial large subunit ribosomal RNA", at positions 1 to 926 of the family's 2925-position model. Lineage: Bacteria; Pseudomonadati; Pseudomonadota; Gammaproteobacteria; Alteromonadales; Pseudoalteromonadaceae. The record is from RNAcentral.
GUUGUAUGGUUAAGUGACUAAGCGUACACGGUGGAUGCCUUGGCAGUUGGAGGCGAUGAAGGACGUACUAACUUGCGAUAAGCCUAGUCAAGCCAGUAAGAGGCGCUUGAGACUAGGAUUUCCGAAUGGGGAAACCCACCUGCUUGCAGGUAUCGUUAACUGAAUACAUAGGUUAACGAGGCGAACGCGGAGAACUGAAACAUCUAAGUACCCGUAGGAAAAGAAAUCAACCGAGAUUCCGAAAGUAGCGGCGAGCGAAAUCGGACCAGCCCUUAAGCUUUAGUGUAGUUAGUGGAACAUGCUGGAAAGCAUGACGAAACAGGGUGAUAGUCCCGUACACAAAAACUUAUCUAAAGUGAAAUCGAGUAGGUCGGAGCACGUGAAACUUUGACUGAAUAUGGGGGGACCAUCCUCCAAGGCUAAAUACUCCCAACUGACCGAUAGUGAACCAGUACCGUGAGGGAAAGGCGAAAAGAACCCCUGUGAGGGGAGUGAAAUAGAACCUGAAACCGUGUACGUACAAGCAGUAGGAGCCUACUUGUUGGGUGACUGCGUACCUUUUGUAUAAUGGGUCAGCGACUUAUAUUCUGUAGCGAGGUUAACCAUUUAGGGGAGCCGUAGCGAAAGCGAGUCUUAACUGGGCGCUUAAGUUGCAGGGUAUAGACCCGAAACCCGGUGAUCUAGCCAUGGGCAGGUUGAAGGUUGAGUAACAUCAACUGGAGGACCGAACCCACUAACGUUGAAAAGUUAGGGGAUGACCUGUGGCUAGGAGUGAAAGGCUAAUCAAACCGGGAGAUAGCUGGUUCUCCCCGAAAUCUAUUUAGGUAGAGCCUCGGACGAAUACUUACGGGGGUAGAGCACUGUUAAGGCUAGGGGG